RNAcentral lists this ribosomal RNA (467 nucleotides) under uncultured bacterium. Its description in RNAcentral is "bacterial SSU rRNA". It matches the Rfam family "Bacterial small subunit ribosomal RNA", at positions 917 to 1382 of the family's 1533-position model. The record is from RNAcentral.
GGACCCGCACAAGCAGUGGAGCAUGUGGUUUAAUUCGAAGCAACGCGAAGAACCUUACCAGGUCUUGACAUCCCUCUGACCGGUCUAGAGAUAGGCCUUUCCUUCGGGACAGAGGAGACAGGUGGUGCAUGGUUGUCGUCAGCUCGUGUCGUGAGAUGUUGGGUUAAGUCCCGCAACGAGCGCAACCCUUGAAUCCAGUUGCCAGCACGUUGGGGUGGGCACUCUGGAUUGACUGCCGGUGACAAACCGGAGGAAGGUGGGGAUGACGUCAAAUCAUCAUGCCCCUUAUGACCUGGGCUACACACGUGCUACAAUGGCCGGUACAACGGGCUUGCGAAGCGGUGACGCGGAGCGAAUCCUUCAAAGCCGGUCUCAGUUCGGAUUGCAGGCUGCAACUCGCCUGCAUGAAGUCGGAAUUGCUAGUAAUCGCGGAUCAGCAUGCCGCGGUGAAUACGUUCCCGGGUCUU